Odocoileus virginianus texanus is the source of this 487-nucleotide non-coding RNA. The record is from RefSeq and is a predicted model, not a curated record. Lineage: Eukaryota; Metazoa; Chordata; Mammalia; Artiodactyla; Cervidae.
AGACUUUGGGUGGUUAUGAAGUGUCAGUGUGGGCUCACCCUGGGUAAGAAAUGUGCCAUUCUGCCUAGUAUUCUCCAAUGUGGUUGAACUCAAACAUCUACUGUCUUCUGUGUGGCAGGCCUAGGCUCCCUGGACCACAUGCCGCAGGGCUAGCCACUGAUAACGUGAGUAGAAGUCCAGUGGGCAUUCCUCGGAAGUCCUUUGUUUUCCUGAAAGAAAAUUACUGAGACUGGUGAAGAUCCUUUCUUCUUUUUACUGCUGUGAUUGCUAAUGCACUGAAGGUAAAAGCCCACAUGCUAAGCAUAGAAGUGAAGAAAGAAACAGCCUGCAUCCAUGAUGACAUGAUUUAAGCAGCUGCUGAAUCAAUAGCAACAACUAUGUUAUUUCCAGACUUUUUAUUAUCUAAGAGAAAGAAAAAAGAGGCCCCUAUUUGUUUAACCCUUCUUGCAUCAGAUUUCUGUAACUUGCAGCUAACCUAGCCAUGUUC